AGAAGUUACACGGUUUCAGGAAUUUCCCCACCCGUUUCCUAUAGAAUUCUGAAAACCAGUCCCUUAAUUAGCAUACAAUUAAGAAUAAGGAUAAAUAUAGCUGGCCAGCAAUCUACCCGGACUGCCCCUCUGGACUGCUCUGUUUGGAUACACUGCCGCUGCAGCCGCUGCUGCUGCUGCAGCUGCUGCUGCUCUGGUCUGUUCUGACUAUGGAGCAGCCACUUUGCUGUACACCGCUACACCGGGCAACUCUGCCUAUGAGGAAGCACUGCUCUGUGGGACAGUGAUACGGCUGCACACCGCUACUCCUGGGAACUCUGCCUUUGGGCCAGCCCUACUCUGUCUACGGAGCAGCUAUUUUGCUAGUGAAUUGGAAAAUCAACAAGCAACAAGAAUGAAGAUAUGAAAUUUAGGAACAAAGCAUUAAGACCUGUGCCAGAAUUGUAGUUUUUUUUUUAAAAAAAAAAAAUUAAUUAGCUGUCACAUACCAGAAAAAUGUUCAUAAAGUAAACUAAUCUCCAGGCAGGGAGCAAGUCUUGAGGGAAGUCCCUCUCCCACUCUGCUCCAUGCAUCAAGAGAACCAUUGGACCAGAUCCUCAUUCAACAGGGACCUCAUCUGCCCUCCUUUCACUCCACUAGGUUCCAUCAUUGCUAUGGGGACUACAAAAAGGCAUUAUAAGGUUUGGGACACGGACGGGUUUCCCUGCUCCUCGUCUUGCCGAUGACCUAUUGUGGGACUUCACCUUGUG
Molecule: long non-coding RNA, 749 nt
Organism: Cercocebus atys (sooty mangabey)
Lineage: Eukaryota; Metazoa; Chordata; Mammalia; Primates; Cercopithecidae
Exons: 3
Source: RefSeq, a predicted model, not a curated record